CGUACACUCCUGCGGGAGGCAGCAGUGGGGAAUAUUUGACAAUGGGCGCAAGCCUGAUCCAGCCAUGCCGCGUGAGUGAUGAAGGCCCUAGGGUUGUAAAGCUCUUUCACCGGUGAAGAUAAUGACGGUAACCGGAGAAGAAGCCCCGGCUAACUUCGUGCCAGCAGCCGCGGUAAUACGAAGGGGGCUAGCGUUGUUCGGAUUUACUGGGCGUAAAGCGCACGUAGGCGGACUAUUAAGUCAGGGGUGAAAUCCCGGGGCUCAACCCCGGAACUGCCUUUGAUACUGGUAGUCUUGAGUUCGAGAGAGGUGAGUGGAAUUCCGAGUGUAGAGGUGAAAUUCGUAGAUAUUCGGAGGAACACCAGUGGCGAAGGCGGCUCACUGGCUCGAUACUGACGCUGAGGUGCGAAAGCGUGGGGAGCAAACAGGAUUAGAUACCCUAGUAGUCCCAU
RNAcentral lists this ribosomal RNA (452 nucleotides) under uncultured organism. RNAcentral describes it as "partial 16S ribosomal RNA". It matches the Rfam family "Bacterial small subunit ribosomal RNA", at positions 330 to 798 of the family's 1533-position model. The record is from RNAcentral.